This 492-nucleotide ribosomal RNA is filed under the name uncultured bacterium. RNAcentral describes it as "partial 16S ribosomal RNA". It matches the Rfam family "Bacterial small subunit ribosomal RNA", at positions 29 to 507 of the family's 1533-position model. The record is from RNAcentral.
AGUGAACGCUGGCGGCAGGCCUAACACAUGCAAGUCGAACGGCAGCACAGUAAGAGCUUGCUCUUACGGGUGGCGAGUGGCGGACGGGUGAGGAAUAUAUCGGAAUCUACUUUUUCGUGGGGGAUAACGUAGGGAAACUUACGCUAAUAUCGCAUACGACCUACGGGUGAAAGCAGUGGAUCUUCGGACCUUGCGCGAUUGAAUGAGCCGAUGUCGGAUUAGCUAGUUGGCGGGGUAAAGGCCCACCAAGUCGACGAUCCGUAGCUGGUCUGAGAGGAUGAUCAGCCACACUGGAACUGAGACACGGUCCAGACUACUACGGGAGGCAGCAGUGGGGAAUAUUAGACAAUGGGCGCAAGCCUGAUCCAGCCAUACCGCGUGGGUGACGAAGGCCUUCGGUUUGUAAAGCCCUUUUGUUGGGAAAGAAAAGCAGCAGGUUAAUACCCCGCUGUUCUGACGGUACCCAAAAAAUAAGCACCGGCUAACUUCGUG